This 279-nucleotide ribosomal RNA is filed under the name uncultured bacterium. Its description in RNAcentral is "partial 16S ribosomal RNA". It matches the Rfam family "Bacterial small subunit ribosomal RNA", at positions 506 to 784 of the family's 1533-position model. The record is from RNAcentral.
UGCCAGCCGCCGCGGUAAGACGAGGGGUCCUAGCGUUGUUCGGAAUUACUGGGCGUAAAGCGCAUGUAGGCAGUUUAGUAAGUCAGAUAUGAAAGCCCUGGGCUCAACCCAGGAAGUGCAUUUGAUACUGCAAAACUUGAGUAUCAGAGAGGGUAGUGGAAUUCCAGGUGUAGUGGUGAAAUACGUAGAUAUCUGGAGGAACACCGGUGGCGAAGGCGGCUACCUGGCUGAAUACUGACGCUGAGAUGCGAAAGCGUGGGGAGCAAACAGGAUUAGAUA